This 251-nucleotide ribosomal RNA is filed under the name uncultured prokaryote. Its description in RNAcentral is "partial 16S rRNA". It matches the Rfam family "Bacterial small subunit ribosomal RNA", at positions 525 to 775 of the family's 1533-position model. The record is from RNAcentral.
ACGUAGGGUGCAAGCGUUAAUCGGAAUUACUGGGCGUAAGGCGAGCGCAGGCGGUUAUUUAAGUCAGGUGUGAAAGCCCCGAGCUCAACUUGGGACGUGCAUUUGAAACUGGGUAACUAGAGUGUGUCAGAGGGGGGUAGAAUUCCACGUGUAGCAGUGAAAUGCGUAGAGAUGUGGAGGAAUACCGAUGGCGAAGGCAGCCACCUGGGAUAACACUGACGCUCAUGCUCGAAAGCGUGGGUAGCAAACAG